This 253-nucleotide ribosomal RNA is filed under the name uncultured bacterium. RNAcentral describes it as "partial 16S ribosomal RNA". It matches the Rfam family "Bacterial small subunit ribosomal RNA", at positions 524 to 776 of the family's 1533-position model. The record is from RNAcentral.
UACGAAGGGGGCUAGCGUUGUUCGGAAUUACUGGGCGUAAAGCGAGUGUAGGUGGUUGUCCAAGUUGGAUGUGAAAGCCUUGAGCUCAACUCAAGAAAUGCAUUCAGGACUGGGCGACUAGAGGACCGGAGAGGAUAGUGGAAUUCCCAGUGUAGUGGUGAAAUACGUAGAGAUUGGGAAGAACACCAGUGGAGAAGGCGGCUAUCUGGACGGUUUCUGACACUAAGACACGAAAGCGUGGGGAGCAAACAGG